This 253-nucleotide ribosomal RNA is filed under the name uncultured bacterium. RNAcentral describes it as "partial 16S ribosomal RNA". It matches the Rfam family "Bacterial small subunit ribosomal RNA", at positions 524 to 776 of the family's 1533-position model. The record is from RNAcentral.
UACGAAGGGGGCUAGCGUUGCUCGGACUCACUGGGCGUAAAGCGCACGUAGGCGGAUUCUUAAGUCAGGGGUGAAAUCCUGGAGCUCAACUCCAGAACUGCCUUUGAUACUGGGAAUCUCGAGUCCGGGAGAGGUGAGUGGAACUGCGAGUGUAGAGGUGAAAUUCGUAGAUAUUCGCAAGAACACCAGUGGCGAAGGCGGCUCACUGGCCCGGUACUGACGCUGAGGUGCGAAAGCGUGGGGAGCAAACAGG